Molecule: ribosomal RNA, 461 nt
Filed under: uncultured bacterium
Lineage: Bacteria
Description: bacterial SSU rRNA
Rfam family: Bacterial small subunit ribosomal RNA
Source: RNAcentral
AUUGAACGCUGGCGGAAUGCUUUACACAUGCAAGUCGAACGGCAGCACGGGGCAACCUGGUGGCGAGUGGCGAACGGGUGAGUAAUACAUCGGAACGUGCCCAAUCGUGGGGAUAACGUAGCGAAGUUACGCUAAUACCGCAUACGAUCUACGGAUGAAAGACGGGGGAGUUGGCAACGACCUCGUGUUAUAGGAGCGGCCGAUGUCGGAUUAGCUAGUUGGUGGGGUAAAGGCCUACCAAGGCGACGAUCUGUAACCGGUCUUAGAGGACGGUCGGUCACACUGACACUGAAUAACGGGUCAGACUCCUACGGGAGGCAGCAGCUAAGAAUCUUCCGCAAUGGGGGAAACCCUGACGGAGCGACGCCGCGUGGAUGAUGAAGGCCGUAAGGUUGUAAAAUACCUUUUGUUGGCGAAGAAUAAGCGUGGGAGUGGAAAGCUCACGUGAUGACGUUAGCCGA